Molecule: ribosomal RNA, 423 nt
Filed under: uncultured bacterium
Lineage: Bacteria
Description: partial 16S ribosomal RNA
Rfam family: Bacterial small subunit ribosomal RNA
Source: RNAcentral
GAAUAUUGGCCAAUGGGGGGAACCCUGAUCCAGCCAUGCCGCGUGUGUGAAGAAGGCCUUUUGGUUGUAAAGCACUUUAAGCGAGGAGGAGGCUCCUCUAGUUCAUACCUAGAGAUAGUGGACGUUACUCGCAGAAUACGCAACGGCUAACUCCGUGCCAGCAGCCGCGGUAAUACAGCGUGUGCAAGCGUUAAUCGGAUCUACUGGGCGUAAAGCGCGCGUAGGUGGCCAAUUAAGUCAAAUGUGAAAUCCCCGAGCUUAACUUGGGAAUUGCAUUCGAUACUGGUUGGCUAGAGUACGGGAGAGGAUGGUAGAAUUCCAGGUGUAGCGGUGAAAUGCGUAGAGAUCUGGAGGAAUACCGAUGGCGAAGGCAGCCAUCUGGCCUAAUACUGACACUGAGGUGCGAAAGCAUGGGGAGCAAAC